Molecule: ribosomal RNA, 424 nt
Filed under: uncultured bacterium
Lineage: Bacteria
Description: bacterial SSU rRNA
Rfam family: Bacterial small subunit ribosomal RNA
Source: RNAcentral
UAACGAAUCUUCCGCAAUGCACGAAAGUGUGACGGAGCGACGCCGCGUGUGGGACGAAGCCCUUCGGGGUGUAAACCACUGUCAGGGGUUAGAAAGUUCUGAUCAACCCCAGAGGAAGGCACGGCUAACUCUGUGCCAGCAGCCGCGGUAAGACAGAGGUGCCAAGCGUUAGGCGGAAUCACUGGGCUUAAAGCGUGUGUAGGCGGACUUCUAAGUGCCUUGUGAAAUCCCACGGCUCAACCGUGGAACUGCUGGGCAUACUGGGAGCCUUGAGCCAUCUAGGGGCUGUCGGAACAAAUGGUGGAGCGGUGAAAUGCGUAGAUAUCAUUUGGAACGCCAAAGGUGAAAACAGACAGCUGGGGAUGUGCUGACGCUGAGACACGAAAGCCAGGGGAGCGAACGGGAUUAGAUACCCCCGUAGUCC